CCACCGCGGUUUUGAAGCUCA
This 21-nucleotide unclassified non-coding RNA is filed under the name Chlamydomonas reinhardtii. RNAcentral describes it as "small RNA Cre_1006". The record is from RNAcentral. Lineage: Eukaryota; Viridiplantae; Chlorophyta; Chlorophyceae; Chlamydomonadales; Chlamydomonadaceae.